This 433-nucleotide ribosomal RNA is filed under the name uncultured bacterium. Its description in RNAcentral is "partial 16S ribosomal RNA". It matches the Rfam family "Bacterial small subunit ribosomal RNA", at positions 29 to 507 of the family's 1533-position model. The record is from RNAcentral.
AACGAACGCUGGCGGCAGGCCUAACACAUGCAAGUCGAGCGGACCCUUCGGGGUUAGCGGCGGACGGGUGAGUAACGCGUGGGAAUAUGCCCUUCUCUACGGAAUAGUCCUGGGAAACUGGGGGUAAUACCGUAUACGCCCUUUGGGGGAAAGAUUUAUCGGGGAAGGAUUAGCCCGCGUUGGAUUAGGUAGUUGGUGGGGUAAUGGCCUACCACGCCGACGAUCCAUAGCUGGUUAGAGAGGAUGAUCAGCCACACUGGGACUGAGACACGGCCCAGACUCCUACGGGAGGCAGCAGUGGGGAAUCUUAGACAAUGGGGGCAACCCUGAUCUAGCCAUGCCGCGUGAGUGAUGAAGGCCUUAGGGUUGUAAAGCUCGUUCAGCUGGGAAGAUAAUGACGGUACCAGCAAAAGAAGCCCCGGCUAACUCCGUG